This 429-nucleotide ribosomal RNA is filed under the name Pseudomonadota bacterium. RNAcentral describes it as "Proteobacteria bacterium partial 16S ribosomal RNA". It matches the Rfam family "Bacterial small subunit ribosomal RNA", at positions 355 to 776 of the family's 1533-position model. The record is from RNAcentral. Lineage: Bacteria; Pseudomonadati; Pseudomonadota.
UGGGGAAUACUGGACAAUGGGCGAAAGCCUGAUCCAGCCAUGCCGCGUGUGUGAAGAAGGUCUUCGGAUUGUAAAGCACUUUAAGUUGGGAGGAAGGGCAGUAAGCGAAUACCUUGCUGUUUUGACGUUACCGACAGAAUAAGCACCGGCUAACUCUGUGCCAGCAGCCGCGGUAAUACAGAGGGUGCAAGCGUUAAUCGGAAUUACUGGGCGUAAAGCGCGCGUAGGUGGUUCGUUAAGUUGAAUGUGAAAGCCCCGGGCUCAACCUGGGAACUGCAUCCAAAACUGGCGAGCUAGAGUAGGGCAGAGGGUGGUGGAAUUUCCUGUGUAGCGGUGAAAUGCGUAGAUAUAGGAAGGAACACCAGUGGCGAAGGCGACCACCUGGGCUCAUACUGACACUGAGGUGCGAAAGCGUGGGGAGCAAACAGG